ACGCAAUGCUUGUACCACAUGGCGGCCAGUUCUAUUUACGCCGCUGGUGAGCAGUAGGUGAUCGCCGAGGGACUGAAUGCAGCCACAAUGCAUCGCAAGGACUCGCACUUUCAUGCGACACAGAAAUGCUAGCUCGGAAUCCCGAGUGCUUGCCGGUGGCGCAAGAAGUAUCGCGUUUCAAUGGCUGUGCACUGUUCAUUGGCCGUAAACCGCUAGCAUAACAUGUUUCUUCCGCGGCAGGGUGGAAAAAGCGCUGCCUUGAAGCCGGAGCUGUGCCGUCGAAGACUUUACCGGUGCGCCCGUUGGAUCGUCCGCGUACUGAGCGUCGCCAAAUCCGCAAGCAGCAGAGUGUGGCAGCAGACGUGCCAUUGGCGACGGUACAUCCCACCCCCAAGCCCCCUGCAGAUACUCUAGACGUCCAGGUACAAUCAUCUGAAUAUGAGAUUCAGCAGAGCUUGGGCACAUCCGCCUUCAGCAACCACCAAGAUGUUAACAGUGAAGAUGGCCUGGAAG
This is a long non-coding RNA of Rhipicephalus sanguineus (brown dog tick), 513 nucleotides long. RefSeq lists it as uncharacterized. The transcript has 2 exons. The record is from RefSeq and is a predicted model, not a curated record. NCBI's taxonomy places the organism in Eukaryota, Metazoa, Arthropoda, Arachnida, Ixodida, Ixodidae.